This 524-nucleotide ribosomal RNA is filed under the name uncultured bacterium. RNAcentral describes it as "bacterial SSU rRNA". It matches the Rfam family "Bacterial small subunit ribosomal RNA", at positions 775 to 1296 of the family's 1533-position model. The record is from RNAcentral.
AGUAAAUAGAUACCCGGGUAGUCCACGCCGUAAACGAUGUCGACUUGGAGGUUGUGCCCUUGAGGCGUGGCUUCCGGAGCUAAACGCGUUAAAGUCGACCGCCUGGGGAGUACGGCCGCAAGGUUAAAACUCAAAUGAAUUGACGGGGGCCCGCACAAGCGGUGGAGCAUGUGGUUUAAUUCGAUGCAACGCGAAGAACCUUACCUACUCUUGACAUCCAGAGAACUUAGCAGAGAUGCUUUGGUGCCUUCGGGAACUCUGAGACAGGUGCUGCAUGGCUGUCGUCAGCUCGUGUUGUGAAAUGUUGGGUUAAGUCCCGCAACGAGCGCAACCCUUAUCCUUUGUUGCCAGCGGUUAGGUCGGGAACUCAAAGGAGACUGCCAGUGAUAAACUGGAGAAGGUGGGGAUGACGUCAAGUCAUCAUGGCCCUUACGAGUAGGGCUACACACGUGCUACAAUGGCGCAUACAAAGAGAAGCGACCUCGCGAGAGCAAGCGGACCUCAUAAAGUGCGUCGUAGUCCGG